This 3726-nucleotide long non-coding RNA is filed under the name Mytilus galloprovincialis (Mediterranean mussel). Lineage: Eukaryota; Metazoa; Mollusca; Bivalvia; Mytilida; Mytilidae. The record is from RNAcentral.
GCCCGAACCUUGGCGAGGGGUCUGAGGGUGACAAACCGCUCAAUGCCAACCCCCCUGCUGGUAGUGGGUUCGAGGGGAUGGAGCCCCCGAAAGCGAUCGAGUUAUCGGGAAUGACAUACCAUUCCUGUCAGUAAAAAAUCAUUGAUAGUAACAUACUUUUGAAUCUAAAUGGUAUAUUUUUUAUGUUUAAUUUUGAGAACUUAUUCAUCGUGUUAAUUGGAAGCUAACCAAACGGACAUUGGUUUUAGAGAAAACGUUCAAACCAAUAUUACUUUCAAAUUGUUUAAAGUCGUGAGUGAGCAUACAAUCGACAAAAGCACGAAAAAAAAAUAUUUCUUAGAGAUGCAAUAUAAAAAAAUUCUGGAACACGAUUUCUUUCCACAAGAAGUGAAUCAAUUUACCAGUCUUUUCCAGGAAUUUAAAAAAAUCAAAAACUUUCUUUAUUAUAUUUUUUCUAUCUAGAUUUUAACGUGUGCCAAUAUAUCACAUUUUAUGAAGGUUUAUAAAUUUAGCAUGAAAAACAAUUAAUUGCGCAAAGAAAAGUCCAGCUCAGUAAAGAACAGAAAAAUGAACGAAAACAGACAUUAAUAAUCAUAGAAAAAACUUCUUCAAAUGUCAUAAAAGCGAUGAAGUUCGACAAGUAUUAAUGUAAUGAGAAUAUAAAAAAAUAAGCCCAAACUGUGACCACUUAUUAAUUGCAGAAAGAAAUACAUUUUUAUCCGUAAAAUGUAGGGGAAAUUAAAGAAAUAAUUGCAUUAUUAUAUUGCACUGGAUACUCUUUUGAUCAUAAACAGUUUUUUUUAACAGAGAGUCAUUCAAAAAACUUUGUUCACAUUCGGAACCUAAAUAUUGACGGCGCUGACGACGCUAUGCCGUCUCGCUUUUGCGACAUAGUCGCAUGCUCGACAACAAUGCAAACCGCAUAUCGAAUCUCAGCAGAUAAUGAAUUGCUUUAAAUAUAAGAAAAGUACGCAGAAUUCACAGUAGAUUCAGACUUUUACAGAAAAUUGAAACAAAUUUAUGAAAUGAACUAUUUGAUUAAAGUAAAUUUAGUCCCUUUUUAUUGAAAAUUACAAUCCAUUGAAGAGAGAAGCACAAGGCUGAUGUGCUUUUGACCAGUUUUUCUUAUUAUAUUUAGAUAAAAACAAAAUAUUUCAAAAUUCAAGUGUACGCCCGGGCGUUUUGACGUAAACGUAGCUACGCUCAUGAGCUAUAAAAAUCAUUUUAAACAGUUAAAACUAAUAUAAUUAAUAUAUAAUAAUAAGCACUUUAAAAGGCAAUUAAAACUGUGUCCACUUUUAACACGUGUUAUCAAGUUUGGACGUCAACUUUAUAUAUAAGCUAUGAAUAAACACUUGUAUGAUUUAUUUACUUUUAGUAUACGUUAUAUACCAGUAGCAUAAAUGUCCGCCAUGACUUUGAAUCGUUUAUUUCUAUUCUAUAUAUUUGGAUAUUUUCUUAUUAAUCUUCCCAAUCUUUUUGCUGUCAGUUGGCGUCCUUCGUGCACACAUUCUUCUCUGAAACUACUUGGAAGAAUAAAACCGAACUGAGCAACAAUCAUCUUUAGGGUAUAUAGUUUAAGGUGUAAAUGUGAUCCAGCCUGCCAACAUUGCCGCCAUACCAAAAAUUAGAACAUAUGGGUAAAAUCACAGGGACUCGGUUUGCAGAUUUUUUGUAUGCCCUAUUUAUGGGCAUUAUGUUUUUGGUCUGUGCAUCCGUUUGUCUGUUCGUUCGUUCAUUUGGUUCCGUCUGUCUCGCUUCAGGUUAAAGUUUUUUGUCGAGGUAGUUUUUGGAAAGAUUGGAAAUUGUUCUAAAUCUUUCCUUAGGCACUGGCCUCCCUAACAACACGACAGGUUAGCUACUAUUACUAAAUGUAUUCACCCUGAAAUAUAGUUCCCUAUAGUUCUCAUAUAUGUGCACAUAAUAUACAUAUAAACUGUGAAGAAAUGGGUAUAUUUUUGGAGCAGUUCGUUGAAGAAUGCUUGUCUUGUAUGUGUGUUGAUGUGCAGGCUUUUUUUUUAAAAACAUUUUGACUAUGUAAUUGAGUAUUGAUACAAUAUCAGAUGAUUGACAACUGUCAUUAUCAUCAAACAAUCAGGGACAAGGUGGACUUUAUUUACAAUGCCCCACCUCAUAAACUGUCAGUCAAAUUGACCACAUUACUUAUCAACCUCAGUCUUACAUAAUUAUACAGACCUUUCAAUAUACAUCUCAUUACACAAAUAUCAAUGAAUAUUUGACCUCUCCAUGUGGAACUUUGUGUGACUGGUUGAUAAGUUCCGUUGGAACUUUUGGGCUAGUUUGUUAGUUCCGGUUUUGACUAAUUUGACGAAAAGGAACUUUCUAACUAGUUGAUAUGUUCCGUUGGAACUUUCCAACUAGUCACUUUGUUCCGGUGGAACUUUUAAACCAGAGGAAGAACAAAGUAACUAGUUAAUAAAUUCCUCCGGUUAGUUCGUUCCGCCCGGAACUUUCCAGCGUCGGAACAAAAGAGCAUAUACAAAUACACAAAUAAUUGAUAUAUAAGGAUGAUAGAUUUAUUUAUUGCCUUUUACUUUUGAUCUACAUUACAAAAGGCACUUUACAACUUCUAAUCUUCAAUGUCAUAUAACCUAUGUUUCAACUUACAAAAUGACCUAAAACAACAUUUUUAGAUUAUUUUUGUUGACACUUUAAAGUUAUUAGCUGUUGGUCUAGAUCUUAUGUCUUACAAGGAUAGUUGGUAUAAACAUUCACUAGAAGAAUUUUCAGCAAUAGUGCUUUAUUGUUUUUUUGUCCCCACCAUACCUUACUAUGAAAUUACUCUUCCAAUCUUUCCAUGAGUGAUUUCCAUCACUUUGAUUGCCCAAUCAACUUGAAACUUAGUACACAUGUUCCCUAUGAUAUGAUCUUUCUAAUUUUAAUACCAAAUAAGAGUUUUUAACCAUGCAUUUUCACGGUCCACUGAACAUAGAAAUGAUAGUGUGGAUGGGGCAUCCGUUUACUAUGGGCACAUUCUUGUUAUGCCCCAUUUAUGGGCAUUAUGUUUUCUGGUCUGUGCGUCCGUUCGUUUGUCCGUCGUACCGUUCGUUCGUCCGUCCAGUUUCAGGUUAAAGUUUUGGGUCGAGGUAGUUUUUGAUGAAGUUGAAGUCCAGUCAACUUGAAACUUUGUAUACAUGUUCCUUAUGAUAUGAUCUUUCUAAUUUUAAUCCAAAAUUAGAGUUUUACCCUUUUUUUUAAAGUCCACUGAACAUAGAAAAGGAUAAUGCGGAUGGGGCAUCCGUGUACUUCGGACACAUUCUUGUUUUUAAUAUGUUUUCGUUUUUCCUGUUUAUUUUUAUUACAUUAUCAACGUUUUUAACAUUGACAUCACUAUUUAUUUGUUUUCUGGCAAUGUGUAAUUUACUAUCCAUAUCCGCAAUACAGUUCCGAAAAUACGGAUUCAACAUACAGAUAUAUACAACACCGUCACUCAGUGGCGAAGCUGAGUCAUUUUUACGUGUACGCCCGAACCUUGGCGCGGGAUAUGAGGGAUGCCACCCGCUCAAUGUUAAAGCACUUGCUGGUAGUGGGUUCGAAAGGGACUAAGCCCCCGAAAGCUAUCGAGAAUGAGAUACCAUAAUGAUUCCUGUCAGUAAAAAUCAUUGAUAGCAACAUAUUUUUGAAUCUAAAUGGUUAAUUUGUUUUGGUUAAAUUUUGUAAUAUGUUAACUUAUUCAUCGUGUUAAACUGGAAGCUAGCCUAAUGG